CUGUCCCUAUCCACUUGCAAUUUGACAUGUCAAAUGCAGGCACCUCCCAUUUAUACUCCCACUUUUUGUUUGAUAGAUUCUCAAUCUCUCCCUCUGAUAUCUUUUGGCCCAAGUGAUCGUGAAAAGAACUUGUAGGCAUUGAUGCCUUAACAUCAGUUUCGAUAUUGACACCCAAGUUGUUCUCUUGAUCUGCAUCAGAAGCCUCAUGAUCAUCUUCUGAUUCAGCAUCUUCACUCCUGUCCACGAUGCUAAU
This 253-nucleotide unclassified non-coding RNA is filed under the name Hevea brasiliensis (rubber tree). The record is from RNAcentral. Lineage: Eukaryota; Viridiplantae; Streptophyta; Magnoliopsida; Malpighiales; Euphorbiaceae.